UUUACCUUCACUCACAACUACCAAUUGAACUAAUAUUGUUUUUGCUUUGAAAUGAGGGAGAUGCACCAUUGGAUGGAAAAAUCUUGAAACCUAAUCAUAACACUUUUUCAUGUAAACCAUAUUAAUAUUCACUGUGAAUUAACAAAGCUUGAUUAACUUCCAUAUUAAUAUGCAUGGGUCAUCAAUCACUCCAAGUGAUCAUUACACUUUGCA
This 213-nucleotide long non-coding RNA is filed under the name Gossypium barbadense (sea-island cotton). RNAcentral describes it as "long non-coding RNA (GBAR_LNC009904)". Lineage: Eukaryota; Viridiplantae; Streptophyta; Magnoliopsida; Malvales; Malvaceae. The record is from RNAcentral.